GGGAGCGGAGAUAGUGAGUGGGACAGAAAGAGAGUGGGGGAGGAGGGAGCGGAGAUAGUGAGUGGGACAGAAAGAGAUGGGGGGGAGGAGGGAGCGGAGAUAGUGAGUGGGACAGAAAGAGAGUGGGGGAGGAGGGAGCAGAGAUAGUGAGUGGGACAGAAAGAGAGUGGGGAGGAGGGAGCGGAGAUAGUGAGUGGGACAGAAAGAGAGUGGGGGGAGGAGGGAGCGGAGAUAGUGAGUGGGACAGAAAGAGAAGUGGGGGAGGAGGGAGCGGAGAUAGUGAGUGGGACAGAAAGAGAGUGGGGGGAGGAGGGAGCGGAGAUAGUGAGUGGGACAGAAAGAGAGUGGGGGGAGGAGGGAGCGGAGAUAGUGAGUGGGACAGAAAGAGCGAGAGAGCGAGAGAGUGGGGGGAGGAGGGAGCGGAGAUAGUGAGUAGGACAGAAAGAGCGAGAGAGCGAGAGAGUGGGAGGAGAAGGGAGCGAGAGUCGGGGGAGGAGGGAGCGGAGAUAGUGAGUGGGACAGAAAGAGCGAGAGAGCGAGAGAGUGGGGGGAGGAGGGAGCGAGAGUCGGGGGAGGAGGGAGCGGAGAUAGUGAGUGGGACAGAAAGAGCGAGAGAGAGAGAGAGAGUGGGGGGAGGAGGGAGCGAGAGUCGGGGGAGGAGGGAGCGGAGAUAGUGAGUGGGACAGAA
Long non-coding RNA from Oncorhynchus keta (chum salmon), 688 nucleotides. RefSeq lists it as uncharacterized. NCBI's taxonomy places the organism in Eukaryota, Metazoa, Chordata, Actinopteri, Salmoniformes, Salmonidae. The record is from RefSeq and is a predicted model, not a curated record. The transcript has 3 exons.